This 106-nucleotide non-coding RNA is filed under the name Desulfonispora thiosulfatigenes. RNAcentral describes it as "TPP sequence". It matches the Rfam family "TPP riboswitch aptamer (THI element)". Rfam says of the family: Vitamin B(1) in its active form thiamin pyrophosphate (TPP) is an essential coenzyme that is synthesised by coupling of pyrimidine and thiazole moieties in bacteria. The previously detected thiamin-regulatory element, thi box was extended, resulting in a new, highly conserved RNA secondary structure, the THI element, which is widely distributed in eubacteria and also occurs in some archaea. Analysis of operon structures identified a large number of new candidate thiamin-regulated genes, mostly transporters, in various prokaryotic organisms. The record is from RNAcentral. RNAcentral also lists the same sequence under 1 other name. Lineage: Bacteria; Bacillati; Bacillota; Clostridia; Eubacteriales; Peptococcaceae.
AGAAAAAUAUAAGGGAGCUGUGUAAACGGCUGAGAUAGAAGAUGUAUCUUCUGACCUCUGACCUGAUCUGGGUAAUGCCAGCGUAGGAAAUAUGUUAUAUUAGUAU